GGGGUGUGAAGGUCCUCCACAAUCUUGGAUAGCAACUUCCUUGUAGCAUUGUUCGACUUCGCUUGCCAUGGUGCUACCUACAUAAAUGUACUUAGAAAUAGAAGGAUAACCAAUGUUAGCACGGUUUGGUGGUAAUCCCCUCACUUCUCUCCACAAAACCUCUCCUUUUUCUGCUCUCGAAUUACCACCUUGCACUCCCUUACUCCUCUC
This 210-nucleotide long non-coding RNA is filed under the name Capsicum annuum. Its description in RNAcentral is "long non-coding RNA (CANN_LNC004255)". The record is from RNAcentral. Lineage: Eukaryota; Viridiplantae; Streptophyta; Magnoliopsida; Solanales; Solanaceae.